AUUGAACGCUGGCGGCAUGCUUUACACAUGCAAGUCGAACGGUAACAGGUUAAGCUGACGAGUGGCGAACGGGUGAGUAAUGCAUCGGAACGUGCCCGAUCGUGGGGGAUAACGCAGCGAAAGCUGCGCUAAUACCGCAUACGAUCUGAGGAUGAAAGCGGGGGACCGUAAGGCCUCGCGCGAUCGGAGCGGCCGAUGUAAGAGUAGGUAGUUGGUGGGGUAAGGGCUCACCAAGCCAACGAUCUGUAGCUGGUCUGAGAGGACGACCAGCCACACUGGGACUGAGACACGGCCCAGACUCCUACGGGAGGCAGCAGUGGGGAAUUUUGGACAAUGGGCGAAAGCCUGAUCCAGCAAUGCCGCGUGCAGGAAGAAGGCCUUCGGGUUGUAAACUGCUUGUGUACGGAGCGAAAAGGCUCUCUCUAAUACAGGGGGCUCAUGACGGUACCGUAAGAAUAAGCACCGGCUAACUACGUGCCAGCCGCCGCCGUAA
This 493-nucleotide ribosomal RNA is filed under the name uncultured bacterium. RNAcentral describes it as "partial 16S ribosomal RNA". It matches the Rfam family "Bacterial small subunit ribosomal RNA", at positions 29 to 523 of the family's 1533-position model. The record is from RNAcentral.